This 490-nucleotide ribosomal RNA is filed under the name uncultured bacterium. Its description in RNAcentral is "partial 16S ribosomal RNA". It matches the Rfam family "Bacterial small subunit ribosomal RNA", at positions 30 to 507 of the family's 1533-position model. The record is from RNAcentral.
AUUGAACGCUGGCGGCAUGCUUUACACAUGCAAGUCGGACGGCAGCACAGAGAAGCUUGCUUCUUGGGUGGCGAGUGGCGAACGGGUGAGUAACAUAUCGGAACGUACCGAGCAGUGGGGGAUAACUAAUCGAAAGAUUAGCUAAUACCGCAUAUCUUCUGAGGAAGAAAGCAGGGGACCAUUUGGCCUUGCGCUGUUUGAGCGGUCGAUAUCUGAUUAGCUAGUUGGUGGGGUAAAGGCCUACCAAGGCGACGAUCAGUAGCGGGUCUGAGAGGAUGAUCCGCCACACUGGGACUGAGACACGGCCCAGACUCCUACGGGAGGCAGCAGUGGGGAAUUUUGGACAAUGGGCGCAAGCCUGAUCCAGCCAUGCCGCGUGUCUGAAGAAGGCCUUCGGGUUGUAAAGGACUUUUGUCAGGGAAGAAAAGGGCGGGGUUAAUACCCCUGUCUGAUGACGGUACCUGAAGAAUAAGCACCGGCUAACUACGUG